CUUUAUGUAUAUACUAUACAUACAUAUAUGGAACGUCAUCACCAUCGUGCCAAGCCCCUGUGCUCCGGAACCCAGUUUUGUCUGAUGUUUGACCCUUCCAAAUUACAUGUAAACUGAAUCGCUAUCGUGACCCAGAUAGUUUAGCUUGUACACGAGGAUGUCGCAAAAUUAUGAAGAUUUUUUAUGCGACUAAGUCUUUAGCGCCCAUCGUCAAACGGAAACCACUGAAAAGUAAAAAGGUGACUCAAGACGUUAUGGAAUUCAUCGAAUUCAAAAAGAAAUGUAAGCCAAGUAUUUAAGAUGCCCUGGAUUUCCCUGCUUCGUUCAUGUCUGGAUUUUUCCGACAGUGUGGAUAUGUAUAAUCACGGAAGGUAUCAUAUAAGUUGUUCAUAACAACAUGGCAUAUAUAUGUGUGUAACAACCCAUGUGUUCAACGAGUACCAGAUCUUUAUUAAAUGCUUAAAACUUAACGUAAAAGUUGUCGUUGUUUUGCAUAGUCAUGUAAUUAUAUAUAAUCGCACACGUGUGUAUACACAGCCACGGUCCUGGUACAGUACAUACUCCGUGUUCGCCCCGCCCCUUUCGGCACAGAACCAAUCAGGAAGGUCGAUACAUUGUUUCAAGCUUAUCGGUUGGCGAUUCAAUACAAUCAACAGUUGCUGUACUACUAUUGAAAAAGUACCGUACACACUUCAGCGCGCAGCGCUGUAAAC
Long non-coding RNA from Pecten maximus, 713 nucleotides. RefSeq lists it as uncharacterized. The record is from RefSeq and is a predicted model, not a curated record. The transcript has 2 exons. Lineage: Eukaryota; Metazoa; Mollusca; Bivalvia; Pectinida; Pectinidae.